RNAcentral lists this ribosomal RNA (490 nucleotides) under Klebsiella pneumoniae. Its description in RNAcentral is "bacterial SSU rRNA". It matches the Rfam family "Bacterial small subunit ribosomal RNA", at positions 953 to 1445 of the family's 1533-position model. The record is from RNAcentral. Lineage: Bacteria; Pseudomonadati; Pseudomonadota; Gammaproteobacteria; Enterobacterales; Enterobacteriaceae.
UAUGCAACGCCCAGAACCACACCUGGUUUUAACAUCCACAAAACUUAGCAGAGAUGGUUUGGUGCCUUCGGGGACUGUGAGACAGGUGCUGCAUGGCUGUCGUCAGCUCGUGUUGUGAAAUGUUAGGUUAAGUCACGCAACGAGCGCAACCCUUAUCCUUUGUUGCCAGCGGUUAGGCCGGGAACUCAAAGGAGACUGCCAGUGAUAAACUGGAGGAAGGUGGGGAUGACGUCAAGUCAUCAUGGCCCUUACGACCAGGGGUACACACGUGCUACAAUGGCAUAUACAAAGAGAAGCGACCUCGCGAGAGCAAGCGGACCUCAUAAAGUAUGUCGUAGUCCGGAUUGGAGUCUGCAACUCGACUCCAUGAAGUCGGAAUCGCUAGUAAUCGUAGAUCAGAAUGCUACGGUGAAUACGUUGCCCGGGCCUUGUACACGCCGUCCGUCACACCAUGGGAGUGGUUUGCAAAAGUAAGUAGGUCAACGUUAGU